UUGUUUAAUAUGCUUGUUGUUUACUUUAGAGGUAGGUUUUGGUCAGGUGCAGAGUACAGCGCUGCGGUCAAAACUGCAGAUUUUGUGCAAAGGUAAGUGUUAAAAGUUUGAGAUGUGGCGGAUGCUCAUGGGCCAGUCAGAUCGAUGUAAAGGAUUCUUUGAAGUGAACAUACAUUUAUCACGCCGUUGAAAAUACAGUGAAUGGAAAUGCGUGAAAUAUCGACGCGACCAUUGCACAGGAUGAAAGACCUUAGAGCUCUUUGCUCAGAACCUAAUUGUUUCCGAGGUGGUUUAAGGGGAAUGACAGAAACUUCGCUACACCCAGCUUGGGCCGCCGACUCCUCUCAAAAGCCGAAGCCACAAAGCGAAGAGAGUGUUUCAGUGGGAUUCUCCCUCUCCUGAUUGCAUGUGGGUGCACGUCUGAGCGUUCCCGGCUGCACUGGAAGGAGGGAGAGAGGGAGGGGGUGGAUAUUUGCAAAAAGCACAUUUCUUGUUCCAGAAUCAGAAAUUCUUUCCUUCUGCCGUAAAGAUCGCGGAUUAGGCAAACACGUUGCCCCGUUCAGCCACUCGCCCAGUUCACCCUGCGACCAAAUACGUGCAUUCCACAGAUUGCUGCCAAGCCUCUCUCUCUCUCGCAGUGGCGCAGAUAAAAAAUAUGCAGAGCAGGAUGAGCGUGGGUCUCCGACGCUGCCAAGCCGGGGGAUUUCUUUGCCAUCUAAGGUAGUCUCUCAUUUCUCAACAUAGUCACGCUCCGAACAAAACCCGCCUCCACUCUAUGAUCUUUGGUAUAAAGCGCAGAAAACUCGCUACCAUAUAAGGGAAAAGUUAAAGGGGCUGGAGGUGACGUUAACCAGUUGCACGUUUGAGACAAGACACAUUGCGAGGAGGGGGAAAAAAAAACUUUCGACUAACCCAUAGCCACACACUGAAACUGGUGCCAACUCGCCCGCACUUGUAACCGGCUAUUCAAGUCGACAGCCAGCCUGUUAGCAUUGCAACCAGCUAGUGGAGUUUUAUUUACAGUGGUCGUUAAGGCGGCAGUGUACCACAGCCCAUAAAUCCUAACAGGACGGUGCAGGUAUUUGAAAACGUCAACCAUCUCUACUUUGGUGCCAUCAAAGCAAACUGGGGAAUGUCCUAAAGUGGAUCACUGUCAUAUCUCACGGGCAGCUUAUAGUAGGUAUUGCCAAAGUACUAUCUCUCCCUGAAUAGUACAACCCUCCACCGCCAAAUAUUCAGAACCCUGCUCCCUACCAAAGAAAGGUCAACGUUUAUCAAGGCCUCCUAUUCCAAACUACUGAACUUACAAACUCCCUCGUUCCAACAGCCAAAUUAAAGCCAGGAUUCAUCAGUCAUUCUUCAUCCUUUCCUCUCCAUUGAACAUCUUGGACAGAGUUUGAAGGUUUAAAAAAAGGGAGUCCACUUCUUCCCUGCAUCAAAUGGCAUAUUUACUUUUGAAAAGCAGUUGCGGCAUUUACACAUUAUAUCACAACCACUGUGGUAAGAACCACUGUUUACUGCUGAGCCAACACCAAAAUAACAAGUUUGUCAAUCAUUUAAAAACUUCUUCAGAAACAUCGUCACCUGCUAAAUGCUGGUGGUCUGUAUUUUCAAUUAAAUAUCGGGCUUAGAACAUUGACAGUGACAGAAAGGUCAUAUUAUGUUCAUAACCCAGCCUCUUAUUGAACACAUUGAUGAACCAGUAAUCUGGAUGAAGUUAACUGGAUAUAUUGUAAUUUAAAUUGAAAGAGGAAAUAUUCCUCAGACCACACCAGUCAUUUGGUUCAGGACACAAUGAGCCAAGUUACAGAUUUAUUAAAAGGUUCCUUUGUAAGUAAUUGGGCAAGCCAUCUCUGCGUGGAAUAGGGGAGAAGUGGGGAGGGGGGGUCAAAGGUUCACAUUACAUCAAGGUUGGGCUUUGAUCCCUGGUCUAUCAGGGGAAUUAAAUGCAUUGCCGCAAAAGUGAUACUCUGAAUACUCUCUCUUUUGCUUUAAAAAAAAAACUUUGUAUGUUUCCUGAAAUAGUUUAUCAGUCUGGGAUUCUGCACUUAAUGGCAAUGUGGACUCAGUAGCAACUUUAACU
Leucoraja erinaceus (little skate) is the source of this 2083-nucleotide long non-coding RNA. RefSeq lists it as uncharacterized. The transcript has 3 exons. The record is from RefSeq and is a predicted model, not a curated record. Lineage: Eukaryota; Metazoa; Chordata; Chondrichthyes; Rajiformes; Rajidae.